CAGGAAGGGCUUAGCUGCCCUUACAAACACUAUUCAUUUCCUCAUUCAUUCAUAAGUCACUUAAAAGCAACUAUUCUGUGUCAGUCACUGUGCCUGAUAUGGUAGGAGCCCACUUGGUUAUUAAGGAAAAUGACUUGUGCUCAGAGGAGGCACCUGUAGCCCCUCUGAGUCUGAAAUGACCUCAACCAUCCCCGCCCUCCUUCAAACCCUCAGGGAGUAGCCCUUAGAGGAAGUGAGUGGGGCAGUGCAGACUUAGGAGAGGAUUAAUUAUGCCCCCCUCAUAGUUAGGGUUUUCAGGUUUAUCACUCACCACCUUCUACAUGAUAAACCUGUGGUUUUUAAUCUCUGCAGCAUCGAGCGCGGUUCUUUUCAUUUUCAGAGACUGAGGGCGCCCUCUCCGUGCAGGGCUGCAGACAUGAAAAGGAAAGCCUGCACAUCAGAGAACUUCCUAAACCUAAAGUCUCAUCAGGCUUUUCCCAGCCAGAAAUUUUUAGACAUUUUAACAGGAAACGUGUGUCACAGAUGGAACAUGAAUUUCAUCUAAGUUAAGCAGAGUAAAUGAGAGAAGGAAAAAAAAAGCCUCAAAGAUCAAAAAGCUGUGUAAGAGAUACUCCAAGGACCCAGAUUAUAUAAAUGUGUGUAAGCUAUGAGUGUUUCCAUACAGUGCCAUUAAGAAACCUGCAAUUAAGGUGUUGGAGGUUUUUCUUAAACACACACAGGCACACAUACACCCGCAGGGAAAUCAAUGCCCUCUCAUAAAAAAACAGCAGUAGGUGUGCGGAGUGGUUUCUGUGCCCCAGGGAAACACAGCGCUUCUAAUGGGCACACAGCCCCCCUCAAGUCGCGUCACUCUACCCUGUGGAAAGAUAUAAUUUGCUGUACCGCUGAGAACUCGAAGACAGCAACACCUCCCUAGGAGCCUUCCACUUCUACAAACCCCAAACAAAGAUGUAUGAGACUCCCUGCCACUGAGCGGGGUGGUGGUGGGGAGUUUGUCUUCUCCAGAUCCAGUUAGGGCAUUUAUGAGACAGUCCUGUCAUCUCCUAGCAGGUACACGCAUGUGUAUCACACCUGCAGUUCUCUGGAGUCACUCCAUCGUGCCUCUGCUUAGUCUGAUCCGCAAAGGGCACAGAGGGAACCCUUGUAUUUUAGCAUGGCCAAUGCCAUGGCCAGUGCUCUUUCCACAGGCCUGACUCACAGUCAAAGUGUUUUUCAAUAACUGAGACCCACUCUCAUCUGAAAAAGCAGUCUGGACUGUGCUAAACUUUAGCAAAAGAGACUCAACCAAAAAAAGGGUGAUAUGGAUGGGACCAGAAUGUCAUAGCCUUUCUUUAGGAAACGGUUCUCAAAGUGUGGUCCCUAGGCCAGCAGCAUGGGCAUCACCUGGAACGUGCCAGAAAUGAAGAUUCUCAGACUUCCUGAAUGGGGCCCAGAAAUCUGUAUGUCCAGCAAUCUCCAGUACAUCUAAGUUUAAGCACCACUGCCUCAGAGGGAUGAGUCAGGAUCCCAUUCUGUGGCUAUUUAUAGAACCCUGCACAUGGUAGAGGAGGAUCUAUUAGAGUAGUUCUGUUUCUAUACUUUGGGAUACGAAUUUCUGGCUUCUUGUCUUCCUCAACUUGUCUCAGGAGCCACAGUGAAAAUCUGGCGAUACCUCCCCCGACUUGCUAAGCUGAUGGCUGCUAUGGUGUUAGUGGGCCUGCCUCAGCUAAUCUUAUUCUUUCUCAAGAUGCCUUAUACUUGAGUGGAGUUUAUCAUGUUUCAUACCGGAGUAAUGCUUUCCUACUGGUGAGGGGCAAGCAGGCUGUGUUGUGUGGGUGUUGAUAUUAGGUAACUGAGUUUGGGCUGUGAAAGUACACAAAGGCCCACGUUGAGGAAAAGUUUGUUCCGCAGCUAGCCGCCACAGCCGGGCAUCACAGACUCGUACUAGAUUCGGGGCAGAGUCAGGCAGAGGAUGGAGAUAUUAUGGCAUCAUUCUUUCCUGUCAUUCAAACUUCACUGAGAAAAGGUGAGCUUCCUUCAGAAUUAAAAAGGAGGAGGACCCAUGUCCUCCACUAAAUAGAAUAGCCUCUCCAUUCAAGGAUCUCUUAUUUAGCUAAUGGCUGGCAUGGCACUUCUGGACCAAUGCAAAAACCUAAAUAACUGCAUAUGUUAUUUAGCUUUUAUUUUACUGUAUUAUCAGCAACAGAAAGCAGCAGUGUCAGACUACACAAGAACCGCAAAUCAACCGUCUCAUUGUUCUCCUUGACCUGCUUCUCUGCUCCACAGGUAUAAAAAGACCCAGGAUGCUGACCUGUAAUUUCUUUCAUCUUAACCAUCCAGUAUCAUAGCUCCAAGAGAAGAUUUUUUCUUCUCCUAAUGUUUAGUGAGAUUUCUACAAUCGUGUUUCUUAUGUGUUGGUGUCAGAAAAUGAAUAAAAAUGCUUUUCUGAGAUGUUAGAGAUGCCAUAUAAUUUAAUACAUAAUUGUCAUCGUGUUUUGCCCUGGGUUAUUUUUCCAAGAGAAGAUUCCAGAAUUUCUUGCAGUGAGUCAUCAUGAACAUAUAGAGAUGUAUCUGUUGAGCAGCUCUGCAAAGGUGACAAAGUGGGAGAGGAUUCCAGACCGAUCCUCUCAGAAAGGUGAUGCUGAGUUCCCAGGGCCAUGUUCCAGCCCUGGUUCUCAACCUCAUCAAAGACAUCAUCAUCCCACUCUCCCUAAAAGAGGCCUGGAAGGCAAAACAGUAUUUAAAACUCUGGUCCAGGAGUUCCUGUCAUGGCUCAGUGGAAACAAAUCUGACUGGCAUCCAUGAGGACGCAGGUUUCAUCCCUGACCUUGCUCAGUGGGUUAAAGAUCCGGUGUUGCCAUGAACUGUGGCGUAGGUUGCAGACAUGGCUCAGAUCUGGUGUUGCUGUGGCUGUGGCGUAGGCCGGCAGGUGUAGCUCCCAUUUGACCCCUGGCCUGGGAAUCUCCACAUGCCGAGGGUGAGGCCCUAAAAUAAAUAAAUAAACAAAUAAAGAGAUAAAUAAAUAAAAAUGGUCCAGCUCUCCCAGCAACAUUAUGUUUCUGUAAAUGCUGCUACCAUAAUGCCCAAACCUUAGGCAUCAGUAAAUCCUCUACAUUAGCCUGCAUGUCUAUAGUGGUAGAUCAGAUGUCCAAUAGUUUCCAAACACAUUUCAAUUUCUGCCCCGUUCUCACAGAGUGGGUGUGAGAUAAUAGAAUAUAUGUAUGUUGCUCUCUGACCCCGGUUCCUGCACAGAGUUCCUGAAACCUUUGUAAUUACAUGAGUGAUAAGACUGGGUUUUACUCUAAUGAGGAAACUCUGGGUGGCUCCUGGGCGUAGCCUGGCCACUGGAAAGACCACGCCAGGAUUGGAAGCUUGGAAUCUUCAAUCUCACCCCUCUUUAUUUUUUUGAGAUAUAAGGAGUUUGAAAUUGAUCAUGCCUAUGUGAUAAUGCCUCCAUAAAACUGCAAAAGGAAGGGCCUUCAGAGAGCCUCCAGAAUGGUAAACAAGCAGAGCUUCUGGAACAGUGGUGGGCCUGAGAGGGGCUGGAAGGUCUGUGCCCCUCUCCACGGACCUUGCCUUGGGGAUCUUCUUAUCUGGCUGUUCAACUAUCUUUCAUCACAUUCUUUAAUAAACUAGUAAGCAUAAGUAAGUGCUUCCCUGAGUUCUGCGAGCUGCACCAGCAAAUUAAUCAAGCCCAGGGAGAGGGUGGUGGGAACAUCCUUUGUAGCCAAAGUCGCAGAAGUCCUGACUGAGGACCUACUACUUGCAAUUGGCUCUGGAGUGGGGGUGGGGACAGGUUUGUAGGACUGAGCCCUUAACCUGUGGGAUCUGAUGCUAUCUCCAGGUAAAUAGUGCCAGAAUUGAGGUGAGUUGUAGGACACCCAGCUGGUGCCACAGAGAAUUGCCUGGCGUGGGAGAAAACCUCCACACUUUCAGUGACCAGGCCCUUUUAGUAGAUAAAAUUAUUUGCUUAAUGCAACAGUUGUUCUCACCCCCCGUUUUCCCUCAUCCAUCUUCCAAGAUACAGGCUACAAAUGUGAGCCAAAAAGGUGUUUCUGGAAAAGCUUUUCUUCCCAGUGGCAUAAAAGGUUUCUACUUUUGCCCAUUCCUCCUUUUUGCUCAAAAUGCUGCUGUUGGAACAUUAUGCCCAGAAGGUGGUGGCAGCCAGGUGACCUUGAGGGAACAACAUGAGGAUAAAAGCAUUUCUGCUGAGGAUGGUGAAGUGAAAGGACUGAAAGAACCUGAGUGUCUGGUCGUGUCACCAAGUCACCAGAUCAAACCUGGAACUGCCUGCCUGAAAAUCUCUGAUGUGGAAAAUAAUCAAAGGUCUUCAUUGAUUAAAAUGCCAUCAAAUGGGCUAUCUCUUGUUUGUAGCCUAACUCGUUCCAUAAUUGAAAUAUAUGAGGCUUUUUUAAGUGUUAUUGAGGUAGAGUUGAUCUACAGGUUGUGAUCAUUUCUGCUGUACAACAAAGUGACUCAGCUGUACACACAUCCGUGCUCUUUCACAUUCUUUUCCCGCAUAGAUUAUCACUGGAUAUUGGGUAGAGUUCUCUGUGCUAUACAGCAGGACCCUGUUGCCAAGCAUUCCAUAUAUCUCAGUGUGCAUAUGCCAUCCCAAACCCCCAGUCCAUUCCCCCAUCACAAUCUGUCUCAUUUGAAAACCGUAAGUUUUUCAAAGUCCAUGAGUCUGUAUCUGUUCUUCAAAUAAGUUCAUUCAUAUUAUUUUUUAAGAUUCCACAUAUAAGUGGAAAGAUGUUUUAAUUCUUAGAAUAUAAGAUAUCAAUGCACAAUGGCUAAUCGGUAAGUCCUAUCAAAGUUUCCUUUAGGACAACCUCCUCGUGUGUUCCUUUCUCUACAGUCAUGUUGUCACCUUACUUGACGUGUGGAUCAAAACCUAUUGUUAGAGACUGAAUGUUUGUGUUUCCCACACCCCCAAAUUUAUAUGCCUAAGCCCUAACCCCCAAUAUGAUGGUAUUUGAAGAUGGGGUUUUGGGGGUGUAAUCAGGGUUAGAUGAAAUCACGAGGAUAAUGUUACCUACUGAAGGAUCAGUGCCCUUAUAAAAAGACACCAGGGAACUUGCUUUCUCUCUCUCCAACAUGUAAGGACACAGUGGAAAGGCAGCCUUUUAUAAGCCAGGAAGAGAGCCUUCCCCAGAAACCAACCACACUGGCACCCUGAGCUCCACCCUCCAGAACUUUGAGAAAUAAAUUCUUUUGUUUAAGCCACUCAGUCCAUGAUAGUUUGUUCUGGCAGCCCUAGCAGAGCAAUAGCUAUGUUUUGGCCUAAGAAUCUUUUUAUAAGAAAGUUUAAUAUUAAUUUUUAGUUUGGAGACAUUACAGAUAACAAAUUAAGAAAAAUAAAGUAUUUUUUAUCAAUUUGUAUAAAUCAGGAGCUUUAAUUCUUAACUUCCCCAUGAGUAAUCAUAAUAAUUUUGUUAUCGUCAUUGUUAUUAUUAUUAUAGAUGAGGAAACCAAAGUCUAGAAAUACUAAGUAAUAUGCCCAAGGUAACUUUAAUAAAGAUCAGAGUCAGGAUAAGCCCCACGAUCUGCCUAAUGGCAAUAACUAUGCUCUUUCCUCCUCAAACAAAUCCUCUUUUUCCUACAUUCUAAGAGGACUUGGCUUGUUCCAUUCAUGAAACUAUAUACUGACUUUCAAUGCAUGCCUUUGUAAGAAAACUGAAUACAUAAUCAUUGACAACAUAAUGAAUACAGGUCAAAAUAUUAUUUUUUACAUACCUUUCACCUUUUCACAAGUUGAGUCCUUGAGGCCAGGAACUAUGGACCUGAGAAAUUAUGUCUCUACACUCUGAAUACCCAGUGCUUAAUGAGGGACUUAAUUCCUGUUAUGAAAAGUAUAUGUUUAUAAUCAUUAUUCUGUCAGGCUUUUUAUAACAAAAACUAUG
This 5882-nucleotide long non-coding RNA is filed under the name Sus scrofa (pig). RNAcentral's name for it is "lncRNA (ENSSSCG00000059533.1)". Lineage: Eukaryota; Metazoa; Chordata; Mammalia; Artiodactyla; Suidae. The record is from RNAcentral.